Molecule: ribosomal RNA, 253 nt
Filed under: uncultured bacterium
Lineage: Bacteria
Description: partial 16S ribosomal RNA
Rfam family: Bacterial small subunit ribosomal RNA
Source: RNAcentral
UACAGAGGUCUCAAGCGUUGUUCGGAUUCAUUGGGCGUAAAGGGUGCGUAGGCGGCGCGGUAAGUCGGGUGUGAAAUCUCGGAGCUUAACUCCGAAACUGCAUUCGAUACUGCCGUGCUUGAGGACUGGAGAGGAGACUGGAAUUUACGGUGUAGCGGUGGAAUGCGUAGAUAUCGUAAGGAAGACCAGUGGCGAAGGCGAAUCUCUGGACAGUUACUGACACUGAGGCACGAAGGCCAGGGGAGCAAACGGG